GGGCCCGUAGUCCAGCGGUAAACCUUUUAGGAAAAGGUUUAAUCCAAAACCUAAAAAGUCCGUAGAAGACGUCUCGUUUACACCGAGAAGAUCCUUGGUUCGAAUCCGAGCGGGCCCA
RNAcentral lists this transfer RNA (118 nucleotides) under Nanobdellota archaeon. RNAcentral's name for it is "tRNA-Val". It matches the Rfam family "tRNA". From Rfam's summary of the family: Transfer RNA (tRNA) molecules are approximately 80 nucleotides in length. Their secondary structure includes four short double-helical elements and three loops (D, anti-codon, and T loops). The record is from RNAcentral. Lineage: Archaea; Nanobdellati; Nanobdellota.